Long non-coding RNA from Priapulus caudatus, 338 nucleotides. RefSeq lists it as uncharacterized. NCBI's taxonomy places the organism in Eukaryota, Metazoa, Priapulida, Priapulimorpha, Priapulimorphida, Priapulidae. The transcript is spliced from 3 exons. The record is from RefSeq and is a predicted model, not a curated record.
GUGGAGAAUGUCAUAGAUCAGUGGUUGCUAUAAGCCACUUCGUAGUUACGCAUUGAGCAUGCGCGAGAUUCUGGCGUGAACUUUUGCCAAAGGUCAAUUGUACAUAAAACGCUCGCUGGGUCUCCGUGGCGUGUGAUAGCAAGUGUAACCGUACGUACUGUAUUAUUUUUGUCUAAGUUGGAAAUAACAUCACAUUUAACUAAGAUUUGCCCAAUAUAGAAUGUGUGUAAACUUCAUUGAUACAUGUAGAACAAAUACAUGUUAUUUGUUCAAUUUUGUUGUCUGUUACUUAGUUGAUAAAUGAAAAAAUGCGUGGUUAUAACUGAUAUCCUGUCUUU